GAUGAACGCUGGCGGCGUGCCUAAUACAUGCAAGUCGAGCGAACGGACGAGAAGCUUGCUUCUCUGAUGUUAGCGGCGGACGGGUGAGUAACACGUGGAUAACCUACCUAUAAGACUGGGAUAACUUCGGGAAACCGGAGCUAAUACCGGAUAAUAUUUUGAACCGCAUGCUUCAAAAGUGAAAGACGGUCUUGCUGUCACUUAUAGAUGGAUCCGCGCUGCAUUAGCUAGUUGGUAAGGUAACGGCUUACCAAGGCAACGAUGCAUAGCCGACCUGAGAGGGUGAUCGGCCACACUGGAACUGAGACACGGUCCAGACUCCUACGGGAGGCAGCAGUAGGGAAUCUUCCGCAAUGGGCGAAAGCCUGACGGAGCAACGCCGCGUGAGUGAUGAAGGUCUUCGGAUCGUAAAACUCUGUUAUUAGGGAAGAACAUAUGUGUAAGUAACUGUGCACAUCUUGACGGUACCUAAUCAGAAAGCCACGGCUAACUACGUG
Molecule: ribosomal RNA, 497 nt
Filed under: uncultured bacterium
Lineage: Bacteria
Description: partial 16S ribosomal RNA
Rfam family: Bacterial small subunit ribosomal RNA
Source: RNAcentral